GAUGAACGCUGGCGGCGUGCCUAAUACAUGCAAGUCGAGCGAACGGACGAGAAGCUUGCUUCUCUGAUGUUAGCGGCGGGCGGGUGAGUAACACGUGGAUAACCUACCUAUAAGACUGGGAUAACUUCGGGAAACCGUAGCUAACACCGGAUAAUAUUUUGAACCGCAUGGUUCAAAAGUGAAAGACGGUCUUGCUGUCACUUAUAGAUGGAUCCGCGCUGCAUUAGCUAGUUGGUAAGGUAACGGCUUACCAAGGCAACGAUGCAUAGCCGACCUGAGAGGGUGAUCGGCCACACUGGAACUGAGACACGGUCCAGACUCCUACGGGAGGCAGCAGUAGGGAAUCUUCCGCAAGGGGCGAAAGCCUGACGGAGCAACGCCGCGUGAGGGAUGAAGGUCUUCGGAUCGUAAAACUCUGUUAUUAGGGAAGAACAUAUGUGUAAGUAACUGUGCACAUCUUGACGGUACCUAAUCAGAAAGCCACGGCUAACUACGUG
RNAcentral lists this ribosomal RNA (497 nucleotides) under uncultured bacterium. RNAcentral describes it as "partial 16S ribosomal RNA". It matches the Rfam family "Bacterial small subunit ribosomal RNA", at positions 28 to 507 of the family's 1533-position model. The record is from RNAcentral.